UGUGUGUGUGUGUGUGUGAUGACUGUUUGCAGAUGCUUUAUCAGUCAGUGGCAGAGAGAUGCUAUGUAGUGGUGGGAGAGACACAACAAAGAGCCAAUUUACAGAAACAAAGGCUGCCACGACCUGCAGGCCAUGCUGGUUACAAAUCAGAACAAAACCCUCCGAUAACCAAGCACAAACCCUAAGGAGAUGUUUAACAAACCUUCAGAAAGGCUCCCAGAAACGACCAGAUGACCUUACAACAGUCAGCCCAGGGACAGGGCAGCUGGAGGCCUGAGCCUCAGAGAGAGAACACCCCUAACCACAAAGAGAAGAGAACACCCCCAACCAGCCACCCUAGCAGCAGCACCCUUCGCCCUCCAGGCCCCAGUCAUGGUCCCCUCGCCCGGCGAUGUAUAAGCAGCGUGUGGAGGGGGGCUAGCACUAGCAGCUGGUAGCCUGCCUGCUCUAUCACAGCUCCCCCAUCCCUUACCCCAAACUGGCUAAUCACAGCCAAUGAUUGCUCAGCACCAGCCGUGGCCACUACACCUGCCCCCUUCCUCUGGUGGGACUGUCCCAUCUGGGACACAUAAAGAGGGAGGGGGGGAGUAAAGAGGGUGUCUGCUUACUAGCCAAACAGCUGAAAACGCAACGAGGAUAGAGAAGAGCAACCUCCAUGGCCUAAUCAGAUAAAUAAGAACAAUCACUGGAGAGAAAUGAUUUCAUUGCUUUGGAAACAUCAUACAGAUGUAGGAUCUUAAUUUGAUCACCCUAUUGCACCCUAAUGUAAAACUAGAAUUGCACUUGAGGUUUAAAAAGGUUUGUAAUUUCCACUUUCAAAUUUAAGACUUGAUUCUCCCAUCAAAAUAUGUCCAUUAAUUAUAAUCCACAUAAUAAUUCACAUUUCCUGUUGCUGCAGGAUUAUUUUCCUGCUGUAGCAAAUGACUCAAAUUAAGAUCCUACAUCAAUACGUCAGCCAGUUGUGGUCAGAGACCAAUGUGUUGUAGAGGCAGCCAUGCUUGUGUUGGUCUCAAGAUUCCCCCAGAUUCUGAUAGGUCGCCUGUGGCUGCAUUUACAAAGUCUAAUUCAGAUAUUUUG
Molecule: long non-coding RNA, 1077 nt
Filed under: Salmo salar (Atlantic salmon)
Lineage: Eukaryota; Metazoa; Chordata; Actinopteri; Salmoniformes; Salmonidae
Description: lncRNA (ENSSSAG00000083797.1)
Source: RNAcentral